CCUUAAGCCUCUGGAUGAGAGUUAAGCAUGUCCAGGUAGUAGUGGGUGUUUUGAAACAUAAAAGGUUGCACCCUCGUGUGUGCCUGUGUUAAAAGGAGCCCACGCAGCCGACAGCAGCAGGAGCAAAUGGCCUGCUCUGAUGGGGACAGGCAGGAAGUCCUUCGGGGCAUUUCUGUUUCAUCACAGCUUUUCCUGGGGCUGGAAGCUGAUCAGUAUCUCCUUUGGGGACCUGAACCCUUUCCCCGUACGCCAGAUCCGGAACCGACGUGCCUACCACUUGGAGAAAGUCCGGCUGGAGCUGACCGAGCUGGAGGCCAUCCGUGAGGACUUCCUGCAUGAGCGGGACACCAGCCCUGACAAGGGUGAGCUGGUCAGUGACGAGGAGGAGGAUACCUGAGUGGGCUCCGGGACGCUGCUCUUCCUGCCUUCACAACCAAAGUGUGCCCAAAGGGUGAAAGUGCACUUAAAAGCCAGAAUGUAA
Homo sapiens (human) is the source of this 481-nucleotide RNA transcript. It is a transcript of the gene named TBC1 domain family member 2B pseudogene, with no coding region annotated. NCBI's taxonomy places the organism in Eukaryota, Metazoa, Chordata, Mammalia, Primates, Hominidae. The record is from RefSeq and is marked validated. The transcript is spliced from 2 exons.